GGUGAGUCGGGUCCUAAGGCGAGGCCGACAGGCGUAGUCGAAUGGAUGAACGGGUGGAUAUUCCCGUACCGACCAUGGACCGGCAAAACCGAGACGGUGAGUACUAACCUCCGCCUCGUGGUGGUUCCUUCCUUCGGGUUGGUUCCGCCGCGUGGUGUUGGGACCGUAGCCGCAGUAGGUCAGCGCAGGGGUGACACGGAAUGGGAGCCGGCCGCGGAGGUGGUUUUCCGUGGUCAAGCACGCAGCCAGUCAUGUAGGCAAAUCCGCAUGGCGCGCAUGGCGAGGUGUGAUGAUGGGAGCCGUUAUGGCUCGAUAUCCGGUUGUCCAGGCCGUCGAGAAAAGCCUCGGCGUGAGGGCCAUGGCCGCCCGUACCCCAAACCGACACUGGUGGUCAGGUAGAGAAUACCAAGGCGAUCGAGCGAAUCCUGGUCAAGGAACUCGGCAAAUCACUCCCGUGCCUUCGGUAUAAGGGAGACCCGCUGGGGUGAACCGGCUAGCCCGGGGAGCUUUGGUGGGUGGCACAGACCAGGGGGUAGCGACUGUUUACCAAAAACACAGGUGCAUGCGAAGGCGAAAGCCGCUGUAUAUGCACUGACGCCUGCCCGGUGCCGGAAGGUUAAGAGGAUCCGUCAAUCCUUCGGGACGAAGCGGUGAAUUCAAGCCCCGGUAAACGGCGGUGGUAACUAUAACCAUCCUAAGGUAGCGAAAUUCCUUGUCGGGUAAGUUCCGACCUGCACGAAUGGCGUAACGACUUCCCCACUGUCUCGACCAGGAGCUCGGCGAAAUUGCAGUACGAGUAAAGAUGCUCGUUAAGCGCAGAAGGACGAAAAGACCCCGGGACCUUUACUAUACCUUGGUAUUGGCGUUAGGCGCGGAUUGUGUAGCAUAGGCGGGAGGCUUCGAAGCGGGUGCGCCAGCAUUCGUGGAGCCGCAAGGUGAAAUACCGCUCUGUUCUCGUUUGACGUCUAACCUCGACAAGUCAUCCUUGUCAGGGACAGUGCCUGGCGGGUAGUUCAACUGGGGCGGUUGCCUCCCAAAGAGUAACGGAGGCGCUCAAAGGUCCGCUCAGCCCGGUUGGCAAUCGGGUGUCGAGUGUAAUCGCACAAGCGGGCUUGACUGCGAGGACGACGGUCCGAGCAGGGACGAAAGUCGGAGAUAGUGAUCCGGUGCCGGCGCACGGGCGCGGCAUCGCUCAACGGAUAAAAGGUACCCCGGGGAUAACAGGCUGAUCAUUCCCAAGAGUCCAUAUCGACGGGAUGGUUUGGCACCUCGAUGUCGGCUCGUCGCAUCCUGGGGCUGGAGCAGGUCCCAAGGGUUCGGCUGUUCGCCGAUUAAAGCGGCACGCGAGCUGGGUUCAGAACGUCGUGAGACAGUUUGGUCUCUAUCCUCUGCGCUCGUUGGAAUCCUGAGGAGGCCUGCCCAUAGUACGAGAGGACCUGGGUGGACGAACCUCUGGUAUGCCGGUUGUCGCGCCAGCGGCACGGCCGGUUGGCUACGUUCGGGAGGGAUAACCGCUGAAAGCAUCUAAGCGGGAAGCCUGCUCCAAGAUUAGGAUUCCGUACGGUCUUGAACCGUUGUAGCCCGCAUGUUGAACACGUGUUUGAUAGGCCGGAGGUGGAAGUCCCGUGAGGGGUGGAGCCGACCGGUACUAACGGGCGACGGCGACAUAAC
RNAcentral lists this ribosomal RNA (1671 nucleotides) under human gut metagenome. RNAcentral describes it as "bacterial LSU rRNA". It matches the Rfam family "Bacterial large subunit ribosomal RNA", at positions 1378 to 2925 of the family's 2925-position model. The record is from RNAcentral.